GAUGAACGCUGGCGGCGUGCCUAAUACAUGCAAGUCGAGCGAACAGAUGAGGAGCUUGCUCCUCUGACGUUAGCGGCGGACGGGUGAGUAACACGUGGAUAACCUACCUAUAAGACUGGGAUAACUUCGGGAAACCGGAGCUAAUACCGGAUAAUAUAUUGAACCGCAUGGUUCAAUAGUGAAAGACGGUUUUGCUGUCACUUAUAGAUGGAUCCGCGCCGCAUUAGCUAGUUGGUAAGGUAACGGCUUACCAAGGCAACGAUGCGUAGCCGACCUGAGAGGGUGAUCGGCCACACUGGAACUGAGACACGGUCCAGACUCCUACGGGAGGCAGCAGUAGGGAAUCUUCCGCAAAGGGCGAAAGCCUGACGGAGCAACGCCGCGUGAGUGAUGAAGGUCUUCGGAUCGUAAAACUCUGUUAAUAGGGAAGAACAAAUGUGUAAGUAACUAUGCACGUCUUGACGGUACCUAAUCAGAAAGCCACGGCUAACUACGUG
RNAcentral lists this ribosomal RNA (497 nucleotides) under uncultured bacterium. RNAcentral's name for it is "partial 16S ribosomal RNA". It matches the Rfam family "Bacterial small subunit ribosomal RNA", at positions 28 to 507 of the family's 1533-position model. The record is from RNAcentral.